RNAcentral lists this ribosomal RNA (424 nucleotides) under uncultured bacterium. RNAcentral's name for it is "partial 16S ribosomal RNA". It matches the Rfam family "Bacterial small subunit ribosomal RNA", at positions 360 to 775 of the family's 1533-position model. The record is from RNAcentral.
AAUCUUCCGCAAUGGACGAAAGCCUGACGGAGCAACGCCGCGUGAGUGAUGAAGGUUUUCGGAUCGUAAAGCUCUGUUGUUAGGGAAGAACAAGUGCCGUUUGAAUAAGGCGGCACCUUGACGGUACCUAACCAGAAAGCCACGGCUAACUACGUGCCAGCAGCCGCGGUAAUACGUCGGUGGCAAGCGUUGUCCGGAAUUAUUGGGCGUAAAGCGCGCGCAGGCGGUCUCUUAAGUCUGAUGUGAAAGCCCACGGCUCAACCGUGGAGGGUCAUUGGAAACUGGGAGACUUGAGUACAGAAGAGGAGAGUGGAAUUCCACGUGUAGCGGUGAAAUGCGUAGAUAUGUGGAGGAACACCAGUGGCGAAGGCGACUCUCUGGUCUGUAACUGACGCUGAGGCGCGAAAGCGUGGGGAGCAAACAG